UGCGUAGGGUCCGAGCGUUGUCCGGAAUUAUUGGGCGUAAAGAGCUUGUAGGCGGUUUGUCGCGUCUGCUGUGAAAUUUCGGGGCUCAACCCCGAACUUGCAGUGGGUACGGGCAGGCUAGAGUGUGGUAGGGGAGACUGGAAUUCCUGGUGUAGCGGUGAAAUGCGCAGAUAUCAGGAGGAACACCGAUGGCGAAGGCAGGUCUCUGGGCCACUACUGACGCUGAGAAGCGAAAGCAUGGGGAGCGAACAGG
This 253-nucleotide ribosomal RNA is filed under the name uncultured bacterium. RNAcentral describes it as "partial 16S ribosomal RNA". It matches the Rfam family "Bacterial small subunit ribosomal RNA", at positions 524 to 776 of the family's 1533-position model. The record is from RNAcentral.